RNAcentral lists this ribosomal RNA (253 nucleotides) under uncultured bacterium. RNAcentral's name for it is "partial 16S ribosomal RNA". It matches the Rfam family "Bacterial small subunit ribosomal RNA", at positions 524 to 776 of the family's 1533-position model. The record is from RNAcentral.
UACGUAGGGUGCGAGCGUUAAUCGGAAUUACUGGGCGUAAAGCGUGCGCAGGCGGUUCUGUAAGUCCGAUGUGAAAUCCCCGGGCUUAACCUGGGAACUGCAUUGGUGACUGCAGGGCUAGAGUGUGUCAGAGGGAGGUGGAAUUCCGCGUGUAGCAGUGAAAUGCGUAGAGAUGCGGAGGAACACCGAUGGCGAAGGCAGCCUCCUGGGAUAACACUGACGCUCAGGCACGAAAGCGUGGGGAGCAAACAGG